GCGGGCGUAGUUCAAUGGUAGAACUUCUGCUUCCCAAGCAGAUGGCGUGGGUUCGAUUCCCAUCGCCCGCUCCA
RNAcentral lists this transfer RNA (74 nucleotides) under Thiomonas sp. X19. Its description in RNAcentral is "tRNA-Gly". It matches the Rfam family "tRNA". From Rfam's summary of the family: Transfer RNA (tRNA) molecules are approximately 80 nucleotides in length. Their secondary structure includes four short double-helical elements and three loops (D, anti-codon, and T loops). The record is from RNAcentral. Lineage: Bacteria; Pseudomonadati; Pseudomonadota; Betaproteobacteria; Burkholderiales.